RNAcentral lists this transfer-messenger RNA (390 nucleotides) under pig gut metagenome. It matches the Rfam family "transfer-messenger RNA". Rfam says of the family: Bacterial tmRNA, also known as 10Sa RNA or SsrA, is named for its dual tRNA and mRNA-like properties. Its role is to liberate the mRNA from a stalled ribosome. The record is from RNAcentral.
GGGCUCGUAAUGGUUUCGACGGGGAUUUUGAGGUAUGAUAAGCGUGGCGGGCUGACUGACCCGUAUAACGGUCAAAUUAAAAAUUAAACGACAACAGACAAGUUGCAAUGGCUGCCUAAACGAUUCUCCCUCGGGAGAGCCGUUUGGCAGUGCCGUGGCUUUUAAGCCACCCGUUCCCUGCGGAUAACUGCGACCGCAGAGCGAGCGUCAAGGAGCAGUGAACCUGAACCGAGAGUUGCGCCCGUAUCGGUCAGGCAUAAGAGCGCUACGGUCUUUUUUGAGUCUGUCAAUCGACGCAUAAAAGAGGGAAGACACAAAGAUUGACUGUCCACGAAGAAAGUCAUAUCAACGAAUUUUCGGACAGGGGUUCGACUCCCCUCGAGUCCACCA